Molecule: unclassified non-coding RNA, 341 nt
Filed under: soil metagenome
Description: partial contains 5.8S ribosomal RNA, internal transcribed spacer 2, and large subunit ribosomal RNA
Rfam family: 5.8S ribosomal RNA (bases 1-120)
Source: RNAcentral
GAUGAAGAACGUAGUGAAAUGCGAUAAGUAGUGUGAAUUGCAGAAUUCAGUGAAUCAUCGAAUCUUUGAACGCACAUUGCGCCCUUUGGUAUUCCAAAGGGCAUGCCUGUUCGAGCGUCAUUUGUACCCUCAAGCUUUGCUUGGUGUUGGGCGUCUUGUCUCUAGCUUUGCUGGAGACUCGCCUUAAAGUAAUUGGCAGCCGGCCUACUGGUUUCGGAGCGCAGCACAAGUCGCACUCUCUAUCAGCAAAGGUCUAGCAUCCAUUAAGCCUUUCUUUCAACUUUUGACCUCGGAUCAGGUAGGGAUACCCGCUGAACUUAAGCAUAUCAAUAAGCGGAGGA